Molecule: long non-coding RNA, 859 nt
Organism: Magallana angulata
Lineage: Eukaryota; Metazoa; Mollusca; Bivalvia; Ostreida; Ostreidae
Exons: 3
Source: RefSeq, a predicted model, not a curated record
AUAGCGUUAAGUAUAUGAGAGAACUUGUCGUUUGUUAACUAAUUUUCUUUAUGUUCCAGUAUUCCAGUUUCUCUUUUUAUUCCUUAUAGACUAAAGAGUUCUGAUUUUAGCGUGCUAAAUCGGAUGUUAAGGGGAAAAACUACAAUCCAUAGCUUCUGAGAAAUAGAGCGGAACUACAGAUUUCAUUAAACGGCACGAGGAAUAUAGAAACUACAGAGUUCUGCUUUUCGCGUGCUUAAUCGGGUGUUAAGGGAAACAACUACAAUCCAUAGCUUCCGAGAAGUAGAGCGGAACUACAGAUUACAUUAAACGACACACGGAAUAUAAAAAUCUAGAGGUCUACACUACCGGGAAAGACACGAAUACCGUUUGAAUGAUAUUUUAGACUUGCAAGGAGAAAGGACAAAUCAGAAAUUUGACGAAAAUUAACAGACGAUGAUUUGUUAAAAAUUUUAUAGGAGUCUUAUGAAGUCAAAGUGCGACAAUAUUAAGGAAAAGGAAUGAUGUGGUUCAAGGUUCAAAGAGGAAGUCUAGUACUGUUUAUGGAAGUGAUUUAUAUGUGAUCCCAAAUCUAUCAAAAUUAGGAAAAGGAGAUAUUUCUGCUGAAAUUUCAUUUGUGGCUUAUCGGAUUUACAUUUACGGAUGACAAGAUUUUAUAAAUUUGGAUAUAUGUUGGAAAUACAUGUUUUAGCAUUUUGUCAUUUUUAUUUGUUUUAUGCACUGUUGGAUAUUUGAAUAUCCAACUGACGGGCGGUUGGAUAUUAAAAAUAUCCAACUGCCCAUCAGUUGGAUAUGUAUAUAUCCAAUCACUGUUGAUUGAAUAGUGAAAAUAAACGUUGACAAAAUACAAUAGGUGACG